AUUCCCCUAGUAGCGGCGAGCGAAGCGGGAAAAGCUCAAAUUUGUAAUCUGGCGUCUUCGACGUCCGAGUUGUAAUCUCGAGAAGUGUUUUCCGUGAUAGACCGCAUACAAGUCUCUUGGAACAGAGCGUCAUAGUGGUGAGAACCCAGUACACGAUGCGGAUGCCUAUUACUUUGUGAUACACUUUCGAAGAGUCGAGUUGUUUGGGAAUGCAGCUCAAAUUGGGUGGUAAAUUCCAUCUAAAGCUAAAUAUUGGCGAGAGACCGAUAGCGAACAAGUACCGUGAGGGAAAGAUGAAAAGCACUUUGGAAAGAGAGUUAACAGUACGUGAAAUUGUUGGAAGGGAAACACAUGCAGUGAUACUUGCUAUUCGGGGCAACUCGAUUGGCAGGCCCGCAUCAGUUUUUCGGGGCGGAAAAGCAUAGAGAGAAGGUAGCAGUUUCGGCUGUGUUAUAGCUCUUUAUUGGAUUCGCCCUGGGGGACUGAGGAACGCAGCGUGCUUUUUGCAUGAGCUUCGGCUUAUCCACGCUUAGGAUGCGGGUUUAUGGCUGUAUAUGACCCGUCUUGAAACACGGACCAAGGAGUCUAACAUGCUUGCGAGUAUUUGGGUGUCAAACCCGGAUGCGCAAUGAAAGUGAAUGGAGGUGGGAAGCGCAAGCUGCACCAUCGACCGAUCUGGAUUUUUUAAGAUGGAUUUGAGUAAGAGCAAGUAUGUUGGGACCCGAAAGAUGGUGAACUAUGCCUGAAUAGGGCGAAGCCAGAGGAAACUCUGGUGGAGGCUCGUAGCGGUUCUGACGUGCAAAUCGAUCGUCAAAUUUGGGUAUAGGGGCGAAAGACUAAUCGAACCAUCUAGUAGCUGGUUCCUGCCGAAGUUUCCCUCAGGAUAGCAGAAACUCACAUCAGUUCUAUGAGGUAAAGCGAAUGAUUAGAGGCCUUGGGGUUGAAACAACCUUAACCUAUUCUCAAACUUUAAAUAUGUAGGAAGCCCUUGCUACUUA
This 998-nucleotide ribosomal RNA is filed under the name Sporobolomyces sp. RNAcentral's name for it is "partial large subunit ribosomal RNA". It matches the Rfam family "Eukaryotic large subunit ribosomal RNA", at positions 74 to 1093 of the family's 3401-position model. The record is from RNAcentral. Lineage: Eukaryota; Fungi; Basidiomycota; Microbotryomycetes; Sporidiobolales; Sporidiobolaceae.